This 465-nucleotide ribosomal RNA is filed under the name uncultured bacterium. RNAcentral describes it as "partial 16S ribosomal RNA". It matches the Rfam family "Bacterial small subunit ribosomal RNA", at positions 28 to 507 of the family's 1533-position model. The record is from RNAcentral.
GACGAACGCUGGCGGCGUGCUUAACACAUGCAAGUCGAACGGAAAGGCCCUGCUUGCAGGGUACUCGAGUGGCGAACGGGUGAGUAACACGUGGGUGAUCUGCCCUGCACUUCGGGAUAAGCCUGGGAAACUGGGUCUAAUACCGGAUAGGAGCCAUUUUUAGUGUGAUGGUUGGAAAGUUUUUUCGGUGUAGGAUGAGCUCGCGGCCUAUCAGCUUGUUGGUGGGGUAAUGGCCUACCAAGGCGGCGACGGGUAGCCGGCCUGAGAGGGUGGACGGCCACAUUGGGACUGAGAUACGGCCCAGACUCCUACGGGAGGCAGCAGUGGGGAAGAUUGCACAAGGGGCGCAAGCCUGAUGCAGCGACGCCGCGGGGGGGAUGACGGCCUUCGGGUUGUAAACUCCGUUCGCUAGGGACGAAGCUUUUUGUGACGGUACCUAGAGAAGAAGCACCGGCUAACUACGUG